UCUUUCAGAGUCCGAGUUGUAAUUUGCAGAGGGCGCUUUGGCUUUGGCAGCGGUCCAAGUUCCUUGGAACAGGACGUCACAGAGGGUGAGAAUCCCGUACGUGGUCGCUAGCUAUUGCCGUGUAAAGCCCCUUCGACGAGUCGAGUUGUUUGGGAAUGCAGCUCUAAAUGGGAGGUAAAUUUCUUCUAAAGCUAAAUAUUGGCCAGAGACCGAUAGCGCACAAGUAGAGUGAUCGAAAGAUGAAAAGCACUUUGGAAAGAGAGUCAAACAGCACGUGAAAUUGUUGAAAGGGAAGCGCUUGCAGCCAGACUUGCUUGCAGUUGCUCAUCCGGGCUUUUGCCCGGUGCACUCUUCUGUAGGCAGGCCAGCAUCAGUUUGGGCGGUGGGAUAAAGGUCUCUGUCACGUACCUCUCUUCGGGGAGGCCUUAUAGGGGAGACGACAUACCACCAGCCUAGACUGAGGUCCGCGCAUCUGCUAGGAUGCUGGCGUAAUGGCUGUAAGCGGCCCGUCUUGAAACACGGACCAAGGAGUCUAACAUCUAUGCGAGUGUUUGGGUGUCAAGCCCGAGCGCGUAAUGAAAGUGAACGGAGGUGGGAACCCGCAAGGGUGCACCAUCGACCGAUCCUGAAGUUUACGGAAGGAUUUGAGUAAGAGCAUGGCUGUUGGGACCCGAAAGAUGGUGAACUAUGCUUGAAUAGGGUGAAGCCAGAGGAAACUCUGGUGGAGGCUCGCAGCGGUUCUGACGUGCAAAUCGAUCGUCAAAUUUGGGCAUAGGGGCGAAAGACUAAUCGAACUAUCUAGUAGCUGGUUCCUGCCGAAGUUUCCCUCAGGAUAGCAGUAACGUAUUCAGUUUUAUGAGGUAAAGCGAAUGAUUAGAGGCAUGGGGGUUGAAACAACCUUCACCUAUUCUCAAACUUUAAAUAUGUAAGAAGCCCUUUGUUACUUAAUUGAACGCGGGCAUUUGAAUGAAACGUUAUUAGUGGGCCAUUUUUGGUAAGCAGAACUGGCGAUGCGGGAUGAACCGAACGAGGGGUUACGGUGCCGGAGUACACGCUCAUCAGACACCACAAAAGGUGUUGGUUCAUCUAGACAGCAGGACGGUGGCCAUGGAAGUCGGAAUCCGCUAAGGAGUGUGUAACAACUCACCUGCCGAAUGAACUAGCCCUGAAAAUGGAUGGCGCUCAAGCGUGUCACCUAUACCCCUCCGCCGGGGCAAAAUUUACGCCCCGGCGAGUAGGCAGGCGUGGAGGCUCGUGACGAAGCCUUGGGGGUGACCCCAGGUCGAACGGCCUCUAGUGCA
This 1301-nucleotide ribosomal RNA is filed under the name Bipolaris sp. YPT-2016a. Its description in RNAcentral is "eukaryotic LSU rRNA". It matches the Rfam family "Eukaryotic large subunit ribosomal RNA", at positions 127 to 1446 of the family's 3401-position model. The record is from RNAcentral. Lineage: Eukaryota; Fungi; Ascomycota; Dothideomycetes; Pleosporales; Pleosporaceae.